This 76-nucleotide transfer RNA is filed under the name Immundisolibacter cernigliae. Its description in RNAcentral is "tRNA-Thr". It matches the Rfam family "tRNA". From Rfam's summary of the family: Transfer RNA (tRNA) molecules are approximately 80 nucleotides in length. Their secondary structure includes four short double-helical elements and three loops (D, anti-codon, and T loops). RNAcentral also lists the same sequence under 2 other names. The record is from RNAcentral. Lineage: Bacteria; Pseudomonadati; Pseudomonadota; Gammaproteobacteria; Immundisolibacterales; Immundisolibacteraceae.
GCCGGGGUAGCUCAGUCGGUAGAGCAACUGAUUCGUAAUCAGUAGGUCGGAGGUUCGAUUCCUCUCCUCGGCACCA